This is a long non-coding RNA of Puntigrus tetrazona (Sumatra barb), 3857 nucleotides long. RefSeq lists it as uncharacterized. The transcript has 3 exons. The record is from RefSeq and is a predicted model, not a curated record. NCBI's taxonomy places the organism in Eukaryota, Metazoa, Chordata, Actinopteri, Cypriniformes, Cyprinidae.
UAAAGUAAAGUCAGUGUUUUUUCCAGCAAAAUAACGUUCGUAAGUUUUGCUAAGGUGUCUGAAUACUUUUUGGGGCCGCUGUACACCUGCGUAAACGUCCGCAUGCUCUUUCUCAACUGGUUUAACAUGCUUUCUGUAACCGCGUUCCAAGAGCGGAUGACAGAUAAACACUCGCAUAUACAAACACUGUUUCUGGAGAACAGUGAUUUCAUUGUGCGCAUGUUUCAUUCAGAGGAACUGUAAACAAACGAUUUAGAUCACAACCAGGACUUGGCGCUCUGGGCCUUUGUAUUUCCUCCGAAAGCUUUCAAGACUGUUUGCCAGGAUCGUUCAUCACCGGUGUCCCUGUCUCUUCGUCUUUCACCGCAGACGGAUAGAGUGAUGCUGAGCACUGGACAUGCAGAGACAAGGGUUGUGUUGUUUUUGAAGAGGAACACGGUCUGUCUGUCCACCAGCAGGUGAAGGAGACAAAGAAGAGUUGUAGCAUUCAUCCUUAUGUCUGAGUGAAGAAUAACCACACGGUGUGUUGACAGAGGUGAGAGGGAUGGGGUCGAAGGUCACACCUGCUGAUAAUUCAGCUGUCUGAACAGACAAUUCUCCCACAUGGAUGUACCUUAUUGAAACCGACAAAGAUGGGCUGAAAAAAAAUGGAAUCGUUGAAGUGACCAAUCAAACACAGAGGCAGCAGUAUGGACGUGGUUUUUGGGAACUGUUGAGAGGAUGUUGUGCUUCCUGUGCGAAUCAACUUCUGACCCAGUCUAUCCUCUCCACCUGGAACCAGACCACGUCUCCACUUUUCCUCUCUUCUACUUUCUCACUAUACUGUAGCUCCAUCCAACAAACAUAAUUGUUGUCUUAGUGCUGCAUGACUGCUUUGCCAGCAAAGACAACAGCCCUUUCUCCUGGGCUCCACUGUAUAAAAUCUGCUAUUCUGUGCACCCACGGUCUCUCAUCUGCUCUAAUUUGGGCUGACACCCCCCACUUUGAAGUCCAUGGGUGCUGUGAACCUGGGCCCACCCAACAAAAGCAGGCUGAUCCGAGACUGACGCUCCAGCAGACCCACUUAUGCUGACAUAGGAUUGGAAAAAAGACAAGGCCUUUUUUUUUUACCUAAGAAGCUUUCACGCUAGAGCUUCUCCUGCAGACCUAAGACAGUUUAACGUCAGUCAGUUUGGUUUGUUUCAUUGGCGUCAAAGCAAUAUGUUCCAAGUUGUGAAAGAGAACUGCUUUAGUACUAUAAUAUAAUUUUUUACAUUUCUUGCAUUUGUGGUAGAGAGAUGCAGUGUGCAACAUGUAAAGUUUUGGUGGCUAAUCUAGUAUGAGUCAUUAAAUAGAAAUGUGGUGAAACAAAUAUAAUGUUUAGAUUCAAAUGUGAGUAUUAGGUCAUUCGUAGGUCCGUUACGUCAUUAUUAGUGGCAAGAGUAAACAUGUCUGUUAAUAUGUUCAUCAUUCCAAAGAAAUCUUGAGCUUUUCUAAAAAUAUUUGGCAGAAAUCACUCAUUCGUGUCUACAUUCGACUCACAAUUUUUGUUUAUUUUGAAAGCCAAAGCUGCUCUUUUCUGUGGAAAUCCAUAGUGAUCACUGACUAUAAUAAUAAUAAUUAUAAUCACACAUUAUAGUCCUCUAGUGACCCAGAACUGCCAGUAACAAGUCUAGGAUAACAAAUAAUUUUUUAUAACUUUCAGAGUUGUUUUGACCACUGUAAAUUUGAGUAAAGACAAUGUACAUUCAUGCUCUUAACUGCAUAACAGUUCCAAAAAUAGCUAUGUUUAUGGACUGUACCUAUUUUUCAGUUUCAUUUUGUCAAAUCUGUGUUAAUGUUGUCUCCUUGCUAAAGUAUAAAGAGUCUGUAUGACGCCGUGGGCCUAUAAAAACUGUGGUUUUACAAUUUCCUCCAGGACACAGGCACCGCUUGUUGGUGAUGGAACAUUGGGAAGAACCGGGAUGUGGUUGGCAUGAAGUGGGACGGGAUGGGCGAUUGAAAGGCCUAUUCAUACCACUUACCACUGACCUACAGUUGAGGUCUGUUUAGCUAAAGCUCAGCGAAAGAGCCAAUGUCAAAAAGAGAGAUGGGCAAAGAGCAAGAGAAGCAUGUUGUGUUGAUAAGUGCCCUCAGCAUCAACAUUUAAUCCAUUAAACCGGCCAUAAUGUCUAUUCUUCAGCCUGACACAAUGCCAGUGAACGUAUUUAACUUCACAAAACAAAAGAAUGUCUGGAAAAUGCGUCUGAAUCGAACCGUGUCAGACCUGAAAGACAUGCAUUCUCCCGUCUCCCCAAUCUCUGACCUCUCUCUCUCUCUCUCUCCCCCGAAACGUUAGGAUAUGCAAAACCGCCAUCCUCGUGAUUUGCAUGUGGUUAGAGGCCAUGAGGUUGCAGGCAGAAGACUCUUUGUAGUGUGAUGGCGCUGGAAUGUGUCUGUGUUCACGGUGCUAAUACGUCCGCGCGAGGAAACAAGGCGAGUUCCAACAGUUCGCCCCCUAAGGUCCUUUACUGGCUUUGCCAUGUGUUUGUUUUGAGAGCUCUGAAUGAAACCAUGCACUCUUGAUGACACCACCCCGGCGUAAUGCCGUCUAGCACCUAGAGGAUUACUUUGUUUCUUUAUUCACCCCUCCACCCAUCACGUACGGUACAGUGGGUGCAAAGGGUUUAUCCACCAACUGCUUCUAUCCCAGCACCCUCAGGCCCACACAGACGAAGAAAAUAGAGGUGUGGAAAACGCAGCUUUUCUGCUGAUCUGUUCCCGAGACCAUUCGGCUCAGUUCUGCGGCCAAAACAAGCUCGCUGUCAAGUCUCGGAAAAUUUUCGGGGCUAAAAUCGGAGAAGCUGAUAUAGCGCUGUCUUGCCAACUGGUACAUGGCUGCAGAAGGGCUUAUAGAAGAAAAUGACGGAAAGAAGGAGCGGGGGGAGAAAAACAGGAUGGGUAGUUCUAAUUUGGGGACUAUUCAUUUGGGCCUCAAUCAUUCUCUUAGACCAGCAGAUAUCAAGAUCUGCCAAAAUGUUCCCUUAACAAGCACUUCAUCUCCAUUACCCAAUUACGGUGUCUCAGGGCAAUUUGAGUCAGCAUAGCUCAAGGUAAAACGUAUAAUUUAAAAAUAAGUUAUUUAUAUCUGGUGAAUGACUCUUGGCAUGGCGGUGAAUGGCAGAAGUUGUCCAUAAGAAUAAGAAUGGGUUUAAAGAACGAAGCGCUGGAUUUAUUCCCAUGGAUCUUAAAACCGGGCAAAUCGUACCAAGCAGUAUUUACAUUUGUUUAACCAAAAGCCAUUUAGAUGUGCAAUCUUGAGCGAGCUUUGCAUAUUAAAAUGAAGGCAGUGUUUAGCAGCGGGGUUGUAACAGUGCUGCCAGAGGCUCAUCUGGACUACUGUUAAACUCUGAUGUUUUGCUCCGGGGCUACUCCGUGACACAUGACUGCCUGAUCGCCUCUUUGCAUAUGUGAACGAAUGCGAGCGUGGAUAUAUCAUCCUGCAAUAAACCAGAGAAUUACCUCAGCGCGCAAAAACUCAGCAUGUUCCAUUCACUACAUCUGGUUCACUUUAGCUCCAGCAUCCCAAGGAGCUUUCACCUCCAAAAGCGUCCACACACAGAGCGUAUUAGAUUUGUGUGUGCGCAGGGGGCUGUGUUGCAAUGGCUUACGUUGAAUUGGCUCAACUUGAGGUUUUAUGGCUAAUGUUUUAUUUAUCAAUAACUUCAUUGUGUUAUGCUUGAAAGAGCCAUCCAUAUUCACAGGAAGAACCGAAGGGAAUAGAAGCGUCCAGCUCCACUUUGUUGGACCUCGUCAGCACAUCUCCCUUUCAAGUGCUCCACCAUACAGAGUUGUGGUUUGUGAUCCAAGCUUGCAAUAAAAGAGGAACUGAUGAUGAA